This 29-nucleotide non-coding RNA is filed under the name Rattus norvegicus (Norway rat). The record is from RNAcentral. Lineage: Eukaryota; Metazoa; Chordata; Mammalia; Rodentia; Muridae.
UGGGUAUAGUUCCCAAGCUGCUACUCUCC